AAUCAACGCUGGCGGCGUGCCUCAGACAUGCAAGUCGAACGCGAAAUCCCGAGCAAUCGGGAGAGUAGAGUGGCGCACGGGUGAGUAACACGUAGGUAAUCUACCUUCGGAUGGGGAAUAACAACCGGAAACGGUUGCUAAUACCGCAUAAUGCAGCGGCACCUAAUGGUGACAGUUGUUAAAGCGGGGGAUCGAAAGACCUCGCGUCUGAAGAGGAGCCUGCGGCGGAUUAGCUAGUUGGUAAGGUAAUGGCUUACCAAGGCAACGAUCCGUAACCGGCCUGAGAGGGCGGUCGGUCACACUGACACUGACAUACGGGUCAGACUCCUACGGGAGGCAGCAGUCGGGAAUUUUGGGCAAUGGGCGAAAGCCUGACCCAGCAACGCCGCGUGAAGGAU
RNAcentral lists this ribosomal RNA (398 nucleotides) under uncultured bacterium. Its description in RNAcentral is "bacterial SSU rRNA". It matches the Rfam family "Bacterial small subunit ribosomal RNA", at positions 32 to 409 of the family's 1533-position model. The record is from RNAcentral.